RNAcentral lists this ribosomal RNA (497 nucleotides) under uncultured bacterium. Its description in RNAcentral is "partial 16S ribosomal RNA". It matches the Rfam family "Bacterial small subunit ribosomal RNA", at positions 28 to 507 of the family's 1533-position model. The record is from RNAcentral.
GAUGAACGCUGGCGGCGUGCCUAAUACAUGCAAGUCGAGCGAACAGAUGAGGAGCUUGCUCCUCUGACGUUAGCGGCGGACGGGUGAGUAACACGUGGAUAACCUACCUAUAAGACUGGGAUAACUUCGGGAAACCGGAGCUAAUACCGGAUAAUAUAUUUAACCGCAUGGUUCAAUAGUGAAAGACGGUUUUGCUGUCACUUAUAGAUAGAUCCGCGCCGCAUUAGCUAGUUGGUAAGGUAACGGCUUACCAAGGCAACGAUGCGUAGCCGACCUGAGAGGGUGACCGGCCACACUGGAACUGAGACACGGUCCAGACUCCUACGGGAGGCAGCAGUAGGGAAUCUUCCGCAAUGGGCGAAAGCCUGACGGAGCAACGCCGCGUGAGUGAUGAAGGUCUUCGGAUCGUAAAACUCUGUUAUUAGGGAAGAACAAAUGUGUAAGUAACUAUGCACGUCUUGACGGUACCUAAUCAGAAAGCCACGGCUAACUACGUG